RNAcentral lists this ribosomal RNA (918 nucleotides) under uncultured archaeon. RNAcentral describes it as "bacterial SSU rRNA". It matches the Rfam family "Archaeal small subunit ribosomal RNA", at positions 1 to 921 of the family's 1478-position model. The record is from RNAcentral.
UUUUCCGGUUGAUCCCGCCAGACCUGACUGCUAUCGGAUUGAUACUAAGCCAUGUGAGUCAUUGUAGUAAUACAAGGCAGACGGCUCAGUAACACGUAGCCAAUCUAACCUAUGGACGGGGAUAACCUCGGGAAACUGAGAGUAAACCCCGAUAGAUCAUAAUGCCUGGAACGGUUUAUGGUCCAAAUGAUUCGUCGCCGUAGGAUGAGACUGCGGCUUAUCAGCUUGUUGGUGAGGUAAUGGCCCACCAAGGCUAUUACAGGUACGGGCUCUGAGAGGAGAAGCCCGGAGAUGGGUACUGAGACACGGACCCAGGCCCUAUGGGGCGCAGCAGGCGAGAAACCUUUGCAAUGUGCGCAAGCACGACAAGGUUAAUCCGAGUGUUUCCUGCUUAAGGAAUCUUUUGCUAGUCCUAAAAACACUAGUGAAUAAGGGGUGGGCAAGUUCUGGUGUCAGCCGCCGCGGUAAAACCAGCACCUCAAGUGGUCAGGAGGAUUAUUGGGCCUAAAGCAUCCGUAGCUUGCUCUGUACAGUUUCCGGUUAAAGAUCCAUUAGGCUCAACUAAUGGCCUGCCGGAAAUACUGCAGAACUAGGAAGUGGCAAAGGUACACGGUACUCGGUAGGAAGGGGUAAAAUCCUUUGAUCUAUUGAUGACCACCUGUGGCGAAGGCGGUCUACCAGAACACGUUCGACAGUGAGGGAUGAAAGCUGGGGGAGCAAACCGGAUUAGAUACCCGGGUAGUCCCAGCGUAAACGAUGCAGACUCGAUGAUGCACUGGCUUGUGGCCAGUGCAGUGUCGCAGGGAAGCCGUUAAGUUUGCCGCCUGGGAAGUACGUACGCAAGUAUGAAACUUAAAGGAAUUGGCGGGGGAGCACCACAAGGGGUGAAGCCUGCGGUUCAAUUGGAUUCAACGCCGG